This is a non-coding RNA of Pelobates cultripes (western spadefoot toad), 262 nucleotides long. The record is from the annotation of a GenBank genome assembly. NCBI's taxonomy places the organism in Eukaryota, Metazoa, Chordata, Amphibia, Anura, Pelobatidae.
GGGUGAGCACAGCGGUGAAUUGGGUUCCCUGGUCGGAGAGGAUCUCCUUAGGAAACCCGAACCUAGUAAAAAUUCUAACCAGGGCAUCAGCAACCGUCUCUGCCUCUAUAUUAGACAGCGCUACUGCCUCUGGAUAGCGAGUGGCAUAGUCCACCACGGUAAGAACGUAUUUCUUACCUGAUGGACUAGCCUUGGCCAGUGGACCCACAAUGUCAACGGCUAUGCGGGCAAAGGGCUCCCCUAUAAUAGACAUCGAUAAUAG